This 433-nucleotide ribosomal RNA is filed under the name uncultured bacterium. RNAcentral's name for it is "partial 16S ribosomal RNA". It matches the Rfam family "Bacterial small subunit ribosomal RNA", at positions 29 to 507 of the family's 1533-position model. The record is from RNAcentral.
AACGAACGCUGGCGGCAUGCCUAACACAUGCAAGUCGAACGAGACCUUCGGGUCUAGUGGCGCACGGGUGCGUAACGCGUGGGAACCUGCCCUUAGGUUCGGAAUAACUCCCCGAAAGGGGUGCUAAUACCGGAUAAUGUCUUCGGACCAAAGAUUUAUCGCCUUUGGAUGGGCCCGCGUUGGAUUAGCUAGUUGGUAGGGUAAAAGCCUACCAAGGCGACGAUCCAUAGCUGGUCUGAGAGGAUGAUCAGCCACACUGGGACUGAGACACGGCCCAGACUCCUACGGGAGGCAGCGGUGGGGAAUAUUGGACAAUGGGCGAAAGCCUGAUACAGCAAUGCCGCGUGAGUGAUGAAGGCCUUAGGGUUGUAAAGCUCUUUUACCCGGGAUGAUAAUGACAGUACCGGGAGAAUAAGCUCCGGCUAACUCCGUG